UAGGGAAUCUUCCGCAAUGGACGAAAGUCUGACGGAGCAAUGCCGCGUGAGUGAAGAAGGUUUUCGGAUCGUAAAGCUCUGUUGUCAGGGAAGAACAAGGAUCGGAGUAACUGCCGGUCCCUUGACGGUACCUGACCAGAAAGCCACGGCUAACUACGUGCCAGCAGCCGCGGUAAUACGUAGGUGGCAAGCGUUGUCCGGAUUUAUUGGGCGUAAAGCGAGCGCAGGCGGUUCUUUAAGUCUGAUGUGAAAGCCCACGGCUUAACCGUGGACGGUCAUUGGAAACUGGGGAACUUGAAUGCAGAAGAGGAAAGUGGAAUUCCAUGUGUAGCGGUGAAAUGCGUAGAUAUAUGGAGGAACACCAGUGGCGAAGGCGACUUUCUGGUCUGUUAUUGACGCUGAGGCUCGAAAGCGUGGGGAGCAAACAGG
This 429-nucleotide ribosomal RNA is filed under the name uncultured bacterium. RNAcentral's name for it is "bacterial SSU rRNA". It matches the Rfam family "Bacterial small subunit ribosomal RNA", at positions 355 to 776 of the family's 1533-position model. The record is from RNAcentral.